AGAGCGAACGCUGGCGGCAGGCUUAACACAUGCAAGUCGAGCGCCCCGCAAGGGGAGCGGCAGACGGGUGAGUAACACGUGGGAACGUACCCUUUGGUUCGGAACAACCCAGGGAAACUUGGGCUAAUACCGGAUAAGUCCGUAAGGAGAAAGAUUUAUCGCCAAAGGAUCGGCCCGCGUCUGAUUAGCUAGUUGGUAGGGUAAUGGCCUACCAAGGCUACGAUCAGUAGCUGGUCUGAGAGGAUGAUCAGCCACAUUGGGACUGAGACACGGACCCAACUCCGUACGGGAGGCAGCAGGUGGGAAUAGUGACAAGUGGGACGCAACGCCUGACUACCCAGCCAGUGGACCGCGUGAGUAGA
Molecule: ribosomal RNA, 362 nt
Filed under: uncultured soil bacterium
Lineage: Bacteria
Description: bacterial SSU rRNA
Rfam family: Bacterial small subunit ribosomal RNA
Source: RNAcentral